RNAcentral lists this ribosomal RNA (1522 nucleotides) under metagenome. RNAcentral's name for it is "bacterial SSU rRNA". It matches the Rfam family "Bacterial small subunit ribosomal RNA". The record is from RNAcentral.
AGAGUUUGAUCAUGGCUCAGAUUGAACGCUGGCGGCAGGCCUAACACAUGCAAGUCGAACGGUAACAGGAAGCAGCUUGCUGCUUCGCUGACGAGUGGCGGACGGGUGAGUAAUGUCUGGGAAGCUGCCUGAUGGAGGGGGAUAACUACUGGAAACGGUAGCUAAUACCGCAUAAUGUCGCAAGACCAAAGAGGGGGACCUUCGGGCCUCUUGCCAUCGGAUGUGCCCAGAUGGGAUUAGCUUGUUGGUGGGGUAACGGCUCACCAAGGCGACGAUCCCUAGCUGGUCUGAGAGGAUGACCAGCCACACUGGAACUGAGACACGGUCCAGACUCCUACGGGAGGCAGCAGUGGGGAAUAUUGCACAAUGGGCGCAAGCCUGAUGCAGCCAUGCCGCGUGUAUGAAGAAGGCCUUCGGGUUGUAAAGUACUUUCAGCGGGGAGGAAGGGAGUAAAGUUAAUACCUUUGCUCAUUGACGUUACCCGCAGAAGAAGCACCGGCUAACUCCGUGCCAGCAGCCGCGGUAAUACGGAGGGUGCAAGCGUUAAUCGGAAUUACUGGGCGUAAAGCGCACGCAGGCGGUUUGUUAAGUCAGAUGUGAAAUCCCCGGGCUCAACCUGGGAACUGCAUCUGAUACUGGCAAGCUUGAGUCUCGUAGAGGGGGGUAGAAUUCCAGGUGUAGCGGUGAAAUGCGUAGAGAUCUGGAGGAAUACCGGUGGCGAAGGCGGCCCCCUGGACGAAGACUGACGCUCAGGUGCGAAAGCGUGGGGAGCAAACAGGAUUAGAUACCCUGGUAGUCCACGCCGUAAACGAUGUCGACUUGGAGGUUGUGCCCUUGAGGCGUGGCUUCCGGAGCUAACGCGUUAAGUCGACCGCCUGGGGAGUACGGCCGCAAGGUUAAAACUCAAAUGAAUUGACGGGGGCCCGCACAAGCGGUGGAGCAUGUGGUUUAAUUCGAUGCAACGCGAAGAACCUUACCUGGUCUUGACAUCCACGGAAGUUUUCAGAGAUGAGAAUGUGCCUUCGGGAACCGUGAGACAGGUGCUGCAUGGCUGUCGUCAGCUCGUGUUGUGAAAUGUUGGGUUAAGUCCCGCAACGAGCGCAACCCUUAUCCUUUGUUGCCAGCGGUCAGGCCGGGAACUCAAAGGAGACUGCCAGUGAUAAACUGGAGGAAGGUGGGGAUGACGUCAAGUCAUCAUGGCCCUUACGACCAGGGCUACACACGUGCUACAAUGGCGCAUACAAAGAGAAGCGACCUCGCGAGAGCAAGCGGACCUCAUAAAGUGCGUCGUAGUCCGGAUUGGAGUCUGCAACUCGACUCCAUGAAGUCGGAAUCGCUAGUAAUCGUGGAUCAGAAUGCCACGGUGAAUACGUUCCCGGGCCUUGUACACACCGCCCGUCACACCAUGGGAGUGGGUUGCAAAAGAAGUAGGUAGCUUAACCUUCGGGAGGGCGCUUACCACUUUGUGAUUCAUGACUGGGGUGAAGUCGUAACAAGGUAGCCGUAGGGGAGCCUGCGGCUG